AUAACGGUCCUAAGGUAGCGAAAUUCCUUGUCGGGUAAGUUCCGACCCGCACGAAUGGCGUAACGAUGGCCACACUGUCUCCUCCUGAGACUCAGCGAAGUUGAAGUGGUUGUGAAGAUGCAAUCUACCCGCUGCUAGACGGAAAGACCCCGUGAACCUUUACUGUAGCUUUGCAUUGGACUUUGAAGUCACUUGUGUAGGAUAGGUGGGAGGCUUUGAAGCAGAGACGCCAGUCUCUGUGGAGCCGUCCUUGAAAUACCACCCUGGUGUCUUUGAGGUUCUAACCCAGACCCGUAAUCCGGGUCGGGGACCGUGCAUGGUAGGCAGUUUGACUGGGGCGGUCUCCUCCCAAAGAGUAACGGAGGAGUUCGAAGGUUACCUAGGUCCGGUCGGAAAUCGGACUGAUAGUGCAAUGGCAAAAGGUAGCUUAACUGCGAGACCGACAAGUCGAGCAGGUGCGAAAGCAGGACAUAGUGAUCCGGUGGUUCUGUAUGGAAGGGCCAUCGCUCAACGGAUAAAAGGUACUCCGGGGAUAACAGGCUGAUUCCGCCCAAGAGUUCAUAUCGACGGCGGAGUUUGGCACCUCGAUGUCGGCUCAUCACAUCCUGGGGCUGUAGUCGGUCCCAAGGGUAUGGCUGUUCGCCAUUUAAAGUGGUACGUGAGCUGGGUUUAAAACGUCGUGAGACAGUUUGGUCCCUAUCUGCAGUGGGCGUUGGAAGUUUGACGGGGGCUGCUCCUAGUACGAGAGGACCGGAGUGGACGAACCUCUGGUGUACCGGUUGUAACGCCAGUUGCAUAGCCGGGUAGCUAAGUUCGGAAGAGAUAAGCGCUGAAAGCAUCUAAGCGCGAAACUCGCCUGAAGAUGAGACUUCCCUUGUGGUUUAACCACACUAAAGAGUCGUUCGAGACCAGGACGUUGAUAGGUGGGGUGUGGAAGCGCGGUAACGUGUGAAGCUAACCCAUACUAAUUGCUCGUGAGGCUUGACUCU
Molecule: ribosomal RNA, 989 nt
Filed under: human oral metagenome
Description: bacterial LSU rRNA
Rfam family: Bacterial large subunit ribosomal RNA
Source: RNAcentral